Molecule: ribosomal RNA, 507 nt
Filed under: uncultured bacterium
Lineage: Bacteria
Description: partial 16S ribosomal RNA
Rfam family: Bacterial small subunit ribosomal RNA
Source: RNAcentral
AGUGAACGCUGGCGGUAGGCCUAACACAUGCAAGUCGAACGGCAGCACAGGAGAGCUUGCUCUCUGGGUGGCGAGUGGCGGACGGGUGAGGAAUACAUCGGAAUCUACUCUGUCGUGGGGGAUAACGUAGGGAAACUUACGCUAAUACCGCAUACGAGCUACGGGUGAAAGCUAGGGACCGCAAGGCCUGGCACUUGAAGAGGAGCCCGCGUCCGAUUAGCUAGUUGGCGGGGUAAUGGCCCACCAAGGCGACGGUCGGUAGCCGGCCUGAGAGGGCGGACGGCCACACUGGGACUGAGACACGGCCCAGACUCCUACGGGAGGCAGCAGUGGGGAAUUGUUCGCAAUGGGCGCAAGCCUGACGACGCAACGCCGCGUGGGGGAUGAAGGUCUUCGGAUCGUAAACCCCUGUCGAACGGGACGAAAGACUCGCGAUUUAAUACCUCGCGAGAGUGACGGUACCGUUAAAGGAAGCCACGGCUAACUCUGUGCCAGCCGCCGCAGUAA